RNAcentral lists this ribosomal RNA (504 nucleotides) under Myurella fortunei. Its description in RNAcentral is "Clathroterebra fortunei partial 16S ribosomal RNA". It matches the Rfam family "Bacterial large subunit ribosomal RNA", at positions 1823 to 2598 of the family's 2925-position model. Lineage: Eukaryota; Metazoa; Mollusca; Gastropoda; Neogastropoda; Terebridae. The record is from RNAcentral.
UUGUAGUUUAUAAAAUAAGGAGUCGGACCUGCCCGGUGAAAAUUUUUAACGGCCGCGGUACUCUGACCGUGCAAAGGUAGCAUAAUCAUUUGCCUUAUAAUUGAAGGCUAGUAUGAAUGGUUUGACAAGAAUGUAGCUGUCUCUUUACAAUUUAAUAGAAUUUUAUUUUUAGGUGAAAAAGCCUUAAUUGGAUUAAAAGACAAGAAGACCCUAUCGAGCUUAAAAGGAGUUAGUAGAUGUAAGUUUCUAUUUUUAAAAAUAUGGCUAUUAUAUAUUUUGGUUGGGGCGACUGAGGAACAUAUAAAGCUUCCUUUAAAUAUGAUUUACAUACAAGUAUUUGAUCCAUAGUUAGUGAUUAAAGAAAUUAGUUACCGUAGGGAUAACAGCAUUAUCCUUUUUGAGAGUUCUAAUCGAAAAAAGGGUUUGUGACCUCGAUGUUGGACCAGAAUGUCCUGAAGGUGCAGAAGUCUUUAAGGGUUGGUCUGUUCGACCAUUAAAAUUCUA